GUCAUAACCAAUUUCUCCAACUUGCUGAUCUUUUAUCACCAGACAAGAACCUGGGAAGGCUUAGCAGACUAUUAACCCUGGUAACACCUUCUAAAGCUGACCACUCCUCAUCCUCAGCAGUAGAAAUACACUCGGCUAGGCUCCUCUUUGAUUGGCCCUGGCUCUUCACAAAAAACUUUUCUGUUGACUCUGGGGCUAGGCUCCUCUUUGAUUGGCCCUGGCUCUUCACAAAAAACUUUUCUGUUGACUCUGGGACGGGAACAAUCUCAGAAGAACCCUGUAAAUUUCUCAAAUUAUCAACAGCCAAUGCAUGAGAAUCGCCAGGGACAUCUAAGGCCGUA
This 341-nucleotide long non-coding RNA is filed under the name Citrus x clementina. RNAcentral's name for it is "Citrus clementina (C. clementina) long non-coding RNA (CCLE_LNC006838)". Lineage: Eukaryota; Viridiplantae; Streptophyta; Magnoliopsida; Sapindales; Rutaceae. The record is from RNAcentral.